Molecule: long non-coding RNA, 3726 nt
Filed under: Homo sapiens (human)
Lineage: Eukaryota; Metazoa; Chordata; Mammalia; Primates; Hominidae
Description: HSALNT0149774
Source: RNAcentral
UCUGUGGCCUCCCAAAGUGCUGGGAUUACAGGCGUGUUCCACUAUGCCCAGCUAAUUUUUGUAUUUUUAGUAGAGACAGCAUUUCACCAUGUUGGUCAGGCUGGUCUUGAACACCUGACCUGGUGAUCCAUCCUCCUCGCCUCCUAAAGUGCUGGGAUUACAGGCGUGAGCCACCAUGCCCGGCCUCUUUUCUCUUUUGAAUGUGGUAGGCACUGCUCUGUGUCUUCCGACUUCCAGUCUCCCAAAUUGCUGGUGAGAAACCAGUUUAAUUAUUGACUCUUGGGUAUGACUACUUCCUGUCUUCUGAGCACAGAAACACAUAGGAUUUUCACUUUGUUUCCAGUUUUUGUAGGCUGAAUUGUGUCCCCUGCCCCACUUUCCACCAAAAUUCACUCAGUGAAGCCCUAACCCCCAGUAGUUUAGAAUAUGACUGUAUUUAGACGUGGGGCCUUUAAAGAGGUAAUUAAGGUAAAAUGAGGUCUAAUGGGCAAUUCUUAACCUAAUAUGACUGGUGUCCCUUUAAGAAGAGGAGACGAGGACACAGACAACACUGACCAAGGGAAGACAGUAUGAGGACACAACUAGAAGGCAGCCAUCUGUGAGCUAAGGAGAGAAGCAUCAGGAAAAAACGAAACUGCUGUCACCUCGAUCUUAGACUUCUAGCAUCCAGAACCAUGAGAAAACAAAUUUCUGCUGUUCAAGCCACCCAGUCUGUGGUGUUUUGUUACUGCAGCUCUAGCAAACUAAUAUAUCGGUAUUUUAAAAUCGCACAAAUAAUGUGCCUUGGGAUGGGUCUAACUCCAUUCUUUUUUUUUUUUUUUUCACUCAAGUAGUCUCUUACAAUCUGAGAAUUCAUGUCCUUGGAUUUUCUUGAAUUAUUUUAUUGAUUAUUUCCUUUCUUCUCUUAUCUCUGUUGCUCUUUGUGGAUCUCCUCUUAUUUAGAUGUUGGACUUCUUAUUUUAGUCCUUUAAUUUUUUUCUUUUUCUUUUCUAACUCUCAUUUUCUAUAUUUUUGCUUUGCUUACUGGGAGAUUGGCUCAAAUUUAUCAUCCAAACUUUCUCUGAAUUUUUUAUUCUACUAUUAUUUAUUGUUCAAAUUUCCCAGAGCUCCCUUUUUGUUUCUUGAAUGUCCCUUUCUGAAAUAGCAUAAGACUGGUUCGUGGGUGCAAUACAAUAUCUCCUCUUACACCUCUGUGGAUAUUUUUUAAAGUUGUGAAUCAAUUGAAACUUUUUACUUUUUACUUUUAUUGGUACAUAAUAGGUAUUUAUAUUUAUGGGGAACAUAAGAUUUUUUUUUUUUUUUUUGAGACGGAGUUUUGCUCUUGUUGCCCAGGCUGGAGUGCAAUGGUGUGGUCUCGGCUCACUGCAACCUCCGCCUCCCAGGUUCAAGUGAUUCUCCUGCCUCAGCCUCCCAAGUAGCUUGGAUUACAGGAAUGAGCCACCAUGCCCAGCUAACUUUGUAUUUUUAGUAGAGACGGGUUUCUCCAUGUUAGUCAGGCUGGUCUCAAACUCCCGACCUCAGGUGAUCUGCCCACCUCAGCCUCCCAAAGUGCUGGGAUUACAGGCAUGAGCCAUGUGCCCGGCAGGUAUUUUAAUGCAAGUAUACAAUGUGUGAUAACCAAAUCCAGGUAAAUGGUAUAUCCGUUGCCUCAAGCAUUUAUCCUUUUUUUGUGUAACUAACAUGCCAAUUAUACUCUUUUAGUUAUUUUAAAUGUACGGUAAAUUAUUGUUGACUGUAGUCACCCUGUUGUGCUAGCAACUAUUAGAUUUAUUCAUUCUAUCUAACUAUAUUUUUGUACUCAUUAACCACCCACCUCCCACCACAACUACCCUUCCAGCCUCUGGUAACCAUCAUCCUACUCUAUCUCCCUGAGUUCAACUGUUUUCAUUUUUGGGUCCCACAAAUGAGUGAGAACAUGUGAAAUUUGCUUUUUUGGGCCUGGCUUAUUUCACUUAACAUAAGGUCCUCCAGUUCCAACCAUGUUGUUGCAAAUGACAUUUCUCAUUCUUUUUUAUGGCUGAAUAGUACUCCAUUGUGUAUAUGUACCACAUUUUAAAAAAAUCUAUUCAUCUGUUGAUGGACACUUAAGUUGCUUCCAAAUCUUGGCUAUUAUGAAUAGCGCUACAGUAAACAUGAGAGUGCAGAUAUCUUUUCAAUAUACUGAUUUCCUUUCUUUGGGGUAUAUAUCUAGCAGUGGGAUUGUUGAAUUAUAUGAUGGUUCUAUUUUUAGUCUUUAGAGGAACCUCCAUACUGUUCUCCAUAGUGGCUGUACUACGCUCUGUGGAUAUUAAUAAUAGUUUUCUUCUCCCAGCAUAGUCUUGGUUAGUUCCAAAUUAUUUUCUUUGUUUGUUUGUUUGCUUUGGUCUCUACCUUUCAUGCUGGUAGUUCCCCUUAGAUGUCUGAUAAUCUUUGGUAGUCUAUUCAAAUUUAGGAGUGAGGUACUAAAAGACCUUAUUGGAAGUUCUGAUUCCAUGAAUGAAACUUCUUGUCCACCAGCUUCAACUGGGUCAUCUGGCUGGGCCAUUUAGUUGGGUCAUUCUCGACAUCAGCAUCUUUAUGUCUUUCCUCUGGAAGUGGUCAGAUACCCCAGAGAAUAAUUUUCUAAUCUCUAGUGGUCUGGAAUUAGAAUGGGGUAAAAGACAUGGGGUUCUGUUAGGUUAUAAAUGUUCCGAUAAAUUUUCACUACCCCUUCAUUUAUAUUACUGAACUCCAUCCCCAAAUGUGCCAAAUGUUCUCCAGGAAGUAAGUUUCUCUAUUUACCUUAUCUAGCCUCUGCCAGGCUGGGAGAGGGACCAUUAUCUGGCUAUACAGGUUUGAAGAGAGGAUGUAGGGAUCUAACAACUUCUUAUACAGACUUAUAACCCAAUCCUCCUAUUUUUGACCCUACCUUUAUCCCCAUUUUCAGUGGUAUCUGACAUUUGGAAGCUGUUUGGGAGGUCUAUGAUGUAGUCAGGUACUUCUGAGUUUUCUCCAAGACAAAUUUAGGGAUCAUCUUUCUCAGGUGUGUUACCUCUUGUCUAUAUGGCUUCUGAAUUCCACAACCUUGUUGUUCUUGUCUUCCUUUCUAAUUUCAUCAUCAUUGUGGGUUUCUGCCUUAAAAAAAUAAUCCCUUUACUGUCAUUUUAUUAGGUUUCAGAAGAAAGCCAAAGUAAGUGCAUUUCUGUAAUUGAUCACCUCUACUCAGUAGUCUAUUUUGCAUUUUUACAAGGAAAUGACAAGUUUACUCAGGAGUGUUUGAAGACAAACAGGCCUGCUUUAUAAUUUUGCUACUGGCCAUCCCUACCUUCAGUGCACUUGGUCAACAAUUACGUCCACAAAACAGAAAUUACAACUCUGACUCGUGCUUUUAUCUGAGGAACCACAAGUCAUUCACUUGUAUGGUUCACUUGUCAACUGUAAGGGAAACUCUAACUGCUAAUAACUUUAACUAUAUAGCCAAAAGGAUCUUGUAAAACUCUUCCUAUCUUCCUAGCUUUAGUCUUUGCAUAUAGUUCAAGGUUACUACUAACACUCCCCGACACCUGAUUUUCUUCUGAAAUACCAAAACCUCCCAUUUUUGAGUGUUCAGUGUGUGCUAGAGACUGGGAUAGGCGCAUUUACAUGGAUGAUCCCAUUUAAUCCUCCCCAAAACUUACAGUGUCUGGGCCAGGUGCGGUGGCUCACGCCUGUAAUCCCAGCACUUUGGGAGGCCAAGGCAGGCGGAUCAUCUGAGAUCAGGAGUUCGAG